AUUGAACGCUGGCGGCAUGCCUUACACAUGCAAGUCGAACGGCAGCGGGGACUUCGGUCCGCCGGCGAGUGGCGAACGGGUGAGUAAUGUAUCGGAACGUACCAUUGAGUGGGGGAUAACGUAGCGAAAGUUACGCUAAUACCGCAUAUUCUCUCCGGAGGAAAGCAGGGGACCGCAAGGCCUUGCGCUCUUUGAGCGGCCGAUAUCAGAUUAGCUAGUUGGUGAGGUAAAGGUUCACCAAGGCGACGAUCUGUAGCGGGUCUGAGAGGAUGAUCCGCCACACUGGAACUGAGACACGGUCCAGACUCCUACGGGAGGCAGCAGUGGGGAAUUUUGGACAAUGGGGGCAACCCUGAUCCAGCCAUGCCGCGUGAGUGAAGAAGGCCUUCGGGUUGUAAAGCUCUUUCGGCCGGGAAAAAAUCGCAUGGGCUAAUACCCUGUGUGGAUGAUGGUACUGGAAUAAGAAGCACCGGCUAACUUCGUGCCAGCAGCCGCGGUAA
This 500-nucleotide ribosomal RNA is filed under the name uncultured bacterium. RNAcentral's name for it is "partial 16S ribosomal RNA". It matches the Rfam family "Bacterial small subunit ribosomal RNA", at positions 30 to 523 of the family's 1533-position model. The record is from RNAcentral.